AUACGGAGGGUGCGAGCGUUAAUCGGAAUUACUGGGCGUAAAGCGUACGUAGGCGGUUGGUUAAGUUAGAUGUGAAAGCCCCGGGCUUAACCUGGGAACUGCAUUUAAAACUGGCGAACUAGAGUUGAGUAGAGGGGAGUGGAAUUUCAGGCGUAGCGGUGAAAUGCGUAGAGAUCUGAAGGAACACCAGUGGCGAAGGCGACUCCCUGGACUCGAACUGACGCUGAGGUACGAAAGCGUGGGUAGCAAACGGGAUUAGAAACCCUAGUAGUCC
This 274-nucleotide ribosomal RNA is filed under the name uncultured bacterium. RNAcentral's name for it is "partial 16S ribosomal RNA". It matches the Rfam family "Bacterial small subunit ribosomal RNA", at positions 523 to 796 of the family's 1533-position model. The record is from RNAcentral.